CCUGCGUUGUGUGAUGAUUUACAUUUAUAGCAUAGUUCAUCUGAAUUCCUUUGAUGACAACUGUAGCACAUAUAGUCUUUCGCUCCCAUCUGACACGCAUU
Podospora anserina is the source of this 101-nucleotide non-coding RNA. NCBI's taxonomy places the organism in Eukaryota, Fungi, Ascomycota, Sordariomycetes, Sordariales, Podosporaceae. The record is from Rfam.